AGGCGAAGGCAUUUUUACAACUUUUUUUCUGACAUUGAGAUACUAAGGUCCGGGUAGCAAAUGGGAUUAGACACCCCAGUAGUCUAGACACUCGACGAUGGGUAUUAAAAUUAUAUUAAAAGAAAUUAAUAUUUUUACAGCAAACGCGUUAAAUACUCUACCUGAAAAAUAUGAUCGCAAGAUUUAAAUUCAAAGAAAUUGACGGAGAUACCUUGACAGGCGGUGGAACAUGUUGUUUAAUUCGAUGAUCCGCGCAAAUCUUUACCAGGUCUUGAUCGAUAUUCGACAAUAAAUUAUAUUGGUGUUGUUAAAUUUUUACUUUUAACAUUCGAUAUCCACAGGGUUGCAUGGCUGUCGUAAGUACUGUGUCGUGAGAUCCAAGUAAAAAUUGGGAAACUAGCGUAACCCCAGAAAAUAGCAGAUUUUUAAAAUUUCUAUUUUCAAUGCACCCGUAAACUAUGGAGUUUGCAAAAAAGGGAUGACGACAAGUCUUCAUGGCCCGUAUGAACUGGGCUACAAAUGUGUUACAGUGAAAAUUACAAAAU
RNAcentral lists this ribosomal RNA (545 nucleotides) under uncultured bacterium. RNAcentral's name for it is "partial 16S ribosomal RNA". It matches the Rfam family "Bacterial small subunit ribosomal RNA", at positions 713 to 1245 of the family's 1533-position model. The record is from RNAcentral.